AAACUCAAAGGAAUUGACGGGGGCCCGCACAAGCGGUGGAGCAUGUGGUUCAAUUCGACGCAACGCGAAGAACCUUACCCAGGCUUGAACAGCGAGUGACAAACUACGAAAGUGGUCUUCCGCAAGGACACUCGUAGAGGUGCUGCAUGGCUGUCGUCAGCUCGUGUCGUGAGAUGUUGGGUUAAGUCCCGCAACGAGCGCAACCCUUGUCUGCUGUUGCCAUCAGGUUAAGCUGGGCACUCUGCAGAGACUGCCGGUGAUAAACCGGAGGAAGGUGGGGAUGACGUCAAGUCAGCAUGGCCUUUAUGUCUGGGGCUACACACGUGCUACAAUGGCCGGUACAAACCGUCGCAAAACCGUAAGGUGGAGCUAAUCGGAGAAAGCCGGUCUCAGUUCGGAUAGCAGGCUGCAACUCGCCUGCUUGAAGUUGGAAUCGCUAGUAAUCGCGGAUCAGCACGCCGCGGUGAAUACGUUCCCGGGCCUUGUACACACCGCCCGUC
This 500-nucleotide ribosomal RNA is filed under the name uncultured bacterium. RNAcentral's name for it is "bacterial SSU rRNA". It matches the Rfam family "Bacterial small subunit ribosomal RNA", at positions 897 to 1398 of the family's 1533-position model. The record is from RNAcentral.